CCUACGGGGGACAGCAGUGAGGAAUAUUGGUCAAUGGGCGCGAGCCUGAACCAGCCAAGUAGCGUGAAGGAUGACUGCCCUACGGGUUGUAAACCUCUUUUAUGCGGGGAUAAAGGUGUCCACGUGUGGAUGUUUGUAUGUACCUUAUGAAUAAGGAUCGGCUAACUCCGUGCCAGCAGCCGCGGUAAUACGGAGGAUCCGAGCGUUAUCCGGAUUUAUUGGGUUUAAAGGGUGCGUAGGCGGCCUUUUAAGUCAGCGGUGAAAGUCUGUGGCUCAACCAUAGAAUUGCCGUUGAAACUGGGAGGCUUGAGUAUGUGUGAGGCAGGCGGAAUGCGUGGUGUAGCGGUGAAAUGCUUAGAUAUCACGCAGAACCCCGAUUGCGAAGGCAGCCUGCCAAGCCAUGACUGACGCUGAUGCACGAAAGCGUGGGGAUCAAACAGGAUUAGAUACCCCUGUAGUC
Molecule: ribosomal RNA, 460 nt
Filed under: uncultured bacterium
Lineage: Bacteria
Description: partial 16S ribosomal RNA
Rfam family: Bacterial small subunit ribosomal RNA
Source: RNAcentral